GUAUUUUCAAAUUUGUCUAUGCGCGCUGUUCUUGAGUCGCUGCAGUGAACCACGCACUCAAAGGAAGGAGGCUAACGGCGCACUUCGAUAACUAAGAUUGGUCUACAAGUAACUGGCGACGUUGUACGCUAAGUUUCAUCUCCGUACGCCAUUCGUGGGCUGAGCCAUUUGAUCAAUACCCUAAGCUCAAUACGCGCCAUCUUGGUGAAACGCCGUUUACACCGAAGGAAAACGCAUGAAAACCUCGUUCGAAGUUGUUUAUCACCAGAAGAACGAUUCGUUGACAGCAGAAUUCGAAUCAAGCUGUUUGUGGGAGGGCCGUUCACCAGAAUCGAUCGUGUUCGGCAAGAAACGUUGUGUGAACCUGAUUUCGAGAAUCGAAAACAACAUAAAGCUUUAGUGAAAUGAAUCUCAUGGCGUUUGAAGUCAGAAAUAGGAGUGAAACAGCUCGGCUGUGGCAGCGAGAUUGUUGAUCACGUGAUCUGACACAGAAUGGUCAGGUCUGUUGUAACAACUUCCAAUCCAAUAGUGAUUUAUCUAGAGGUUAGUUUAUGAGAUGCGUAACUCUGCAGUGAACGAAAAUCUUCGACCUCGUUGUGUGAUAUUGUAAUGCGUUGCAAUCU
This is a long non-coding RNA of Corticium candelabrum, 623 nucleotides long. RefSeq lists it as uncharacterized. The transcript has 3 exons. Lineage: Eukaryota; Metazoa; Porifera; Homoscleromorpha; Homosclerophorida; Plakinidae. The record is from RefSeq and is a predicted model, not a curated record.